UGCUGGGGUGGAUGAGUGGCGAACGGGUGAGUAACACGUGAGUAACCUUCCCUUGACUCUGGGAUAAGCCCGGGAAACUGGGUCUAAUACCGGAUAUGACUCCUCAUCGCAUGGUGGGGGGUGGAAAGAUUUAUCGGUCUUGGAUGGACUCGCGGCCUAUCAGCUUGUUGGUGAGGUAAUGGCUCACCAAGGCGACGACGGGUAGCCGGCCUGAGAGGGUGACCGGCCACACUGGGACUGAGACACGGCCCAGACUCCUACGGGAGGCAGCAGUGGGGAAUAUUGCACAAUGGGCGCAAGCCUGAUGCAGCGACGCCGCGUGAGGGAUGACGGCCUUCGGGUUGUAAACCUCUUUCAGUAGGGAAGAAGCCUUUGGGUGACGGUACCUGCAGAAGAAGCGCCGGCUAACUACGUGCCAGCAGCCGCGGUAAUACGUAGGGCGCGAGCGUUAUCCGGAAUUAUUGGGCGUAAAGAGCUCGUAGGCGGUUUGUCGCGUCUGCCGUGAAAGUCCGGGGCUUAACCCCGGAUCUGCGGUGGGUACGGGCAGACUAGAGUGCAGUAGGGGAGACCGGAAUUCCUGGUGUAGCGGUGAAAUGCGCAGAUAUCAGGAGGAACACCGAUGGCGAAGGCAGGUCUCUGGGCUGUUACUGACGCUGAGGAGCGAAAGCAUGGGGAGCGAACAGGAUUAGAUACCCUGGUAGUCCAUGCCGUAAACGUUGGGCACUAGGUGUGGGGGACAUUCCACGUUUUCCGCGCCGCAGCUAACGCAUUAAGUGCCCCGCCUGGGGAGUACGGCCGCAAGGCUAAAACUCAAAGGAAUUGACGGGGGCCCGCACAAGCGGCGGAGCAUGCGGAUUANUUCGAUGCAACGCGAAGAACCUUACCAAGGCUUGACAUGUUCUCGAUCGCCACAGAGAUGUGGUUUCCCCUUUGGGGCGGGUUCACAGGUGGUGCAUGGUUGUCGUCAGCUCGUGUCGUGAGAUGUUGGGUUAAGUCCCGCAACGAGCGCAACCCUCGUUCCAUGUUGCCAGCGGGUUAUGCCGGGGACUCAUGGGAGACUGCCGGGGUCAACUCGGAGGAAGGUGGGGACGACGUCAAAUCAUCAUGCCCCUUAUGUCUUGGGCUUCACGCAUGCUACAAUGGCCGGUACAAUGGGUCGCGAUACUGUGAGGUGGAGCUAAUCCCAAAAAGCCGGUCUCAGUUCGGAUUGGGGUCUGCAACUCGACCCCAUGAAGUCGGAGUCGCUAGUAAUCGCAGAUCAGCAACGCUGCGGUGAAUACGUUCCCGGGCCUUGUACACACCGCCCGUCAAGUCACGAAAGUCGGUAACACCCGAAGCCG
Molecule: ribosomal RNA, 1340 nt
Filed under: Citricoccus parietis
Lineage: Bacteria; Bacillati; Actinomycetota; Actinomycetes; Micrococcales; Micrococcaceae
Description: bacterial SSU rRNA
Rfam family: Bacterial small subunit ribosomal RNA
Source: RNAcentral